This 839-nucleotide long non-coding RNA is filed under the name Homo sapiens (human). RNAcentral describes it as "HSALNT0072926". The record is from RNAcentral. Lineage: Eukaryota; Metazoa; Chordata; Mammalia; Primates; Hominidae.
AUUCUAAAGAAGCUAUCAGUUGAAUAGAAAAUAUGAUAUACUUUAUUUUGAAUUCAAAAAUUUAAUAUGUUUUAAAGGUUGCAUAAUUUAAAAUAAAACAAAAACAUUCUAACCCAUAGGAAGCCAAAGAAAGUGAAAGGAUCCUAGCAAGUUUCCUGAACACAUCAACUUCAGGGUUAUGGCCCACCACAAGGGAUAUUCUCAAGGGUUGAGCAUUGGAUUCCUGUUAGCUACUGCCUACUCUUUUCACUUAAGAAGAAAUGUUUAUUUGUGAGAACAUUAUACAAGCCAUCUUUUCCUUUCAGCACCAUCUUCACACCACACAACUUCCAGGAUUAUCUCCUUCCAACCACCAGAGUCACAUCCUGCAGGUAAGGUUGUAUCCAUUGGUGACUUCUGUACCCAGUCAUAAAACAUCACUACAAUAAGGCCAGAAAUGGAGUCUUUACUGAGUAGUCUAGUUCUGGAACAUAACUAUGAGUUAGAAUGAUCCCAUGCAAUAGAAAGGUUGCACUUUGCCUCCAGGUUAGCAUAGUUUUCUUUUUCUUUUUAAAGAUACAUACCAAAGGUAAAUAUUUAUACAGAUCCUCUUACUCCUAAAUGGUCCAGUGGUUUGCUUUGUGGCAUCUGAAUUAUAAUUAGUGGAAAUUGAUUCAGAUAUCUAGAAGAAUGUUGAUCAAUAUGAAUAGCUGAAGAACUCUUUGACUCUUAUGUUUUGCUUUCAACACUAUUUCAAUGGCAAGUGGAAAUGGAUGAUUCUAGUUUUGCAAGCUUUCUUUUAUCAUGAACCAUAAAUCUCUACCUAAUAUUCCUUAAUAAAUUGGGGUACAUAGGACUCU